Burkholderia cenocepacia J2315 is the source of this 223-nucleotide non-coding RNA. The record is from Rfam. NCBI's taxonomy places the organism in Bacteria, Pseudomonadati, Pseudomonadota, Betaproteobacteria, Burkholderiales, Burkholderiaceae.
AAAGUCCCCGACAUUGCAAGAACUAGCGAUUCACGAUUUCCCCGAGUCAUGCGUGGCCAGCCGCGAGGCGGGUUGCGAAGCGUUGACAGGGGCGCUGAUAGGCCAGCCAUUGAGCCACGAAAUGGAUACAUUCCCGAGUGCUGACGUACUACUGUAUGCGGAAGGCAACAUCGCGCGGCGCGCUAUCGCGAGCGCUGCGCGGACUCGGCGUGGUCUGAGACCC